GGAACUCCACGUUUUACAUGUUAGAAAUGUUAAUAGUCUUAAAAGAACCUGUAAAAGCCACUAUGUCCAUAAUUAAUAUGGAACUAAAACAUCACUUGAUAAUAGGGGAACGAGAUAUUAUUAAGCAAUUGGUUCAUAUCCUUAAACCUUUCCAAAACGUGACCAAAAAUAUUUCAGGAGAGGAAUACUUAAUAGCUUCUCUGCAGAAUAAAUGCAGAAAUUGCCAAACAAAAUGUUAUUUCUUUGGUAGCUGAAAAGAUUUCAGGCGAGUUAGCAAGCCGAGCUGCUAGAAAAAGAAGUUGUAUUUAAGUCAAAUGAAGCCAGAAAUCAAAAUAUGGACGAUGACGAUUUUUGGGAGGAUUUUGAAUAGAUAAAUGUAAUAAUUACAUUGUAAUAUAAUACAAAUUGAAUUCAAACAUUAAAUUGGAAAAACAUAUCAAUGGAUCCAUCGAUAAUACAUAAAUACAUCGGAUUUUCCGUGACAAUAGCUCUCAGUCUUCUCCGGAAUCUUGGAACUGGCAGGAUCCUUGUAACCUCCGAAAUGUGAUUGUAGAUCUUGAUACUCUGGUCAUCUGAAUCUUAGUAAGGUGCGUUUUUGGUGGCUCCAGAUAGCAGUUCACCUUCCCGCGCGUAUCUCGAGUAUGUGAUAUUUCAUAUUUUUGAAACAUUCAAGUAAUUCUUCCUAACCAAUACGGCACAUUCCAGAAUAUAAAUUCCAUACAAGACCAAAGAUUGCUCUUACACACCUCUUCUGUAGUAUGAAGAUUCUAUUUAUACUAUAUCUAUACUAACACCACGGCCCCAAAAGACAGAUCUUAGCAAGGAAUGAAUAUAGGCAUAAUAGGCAUUUAAUGCUGCUUCAAUGCCAGCUGAUCUGGAAAUAAUCCGAAUAGCAUAUGAGAAAUGACUAAUCUUGCCAGCAAGGAAAUCAAUAUGAUUGGUCCAAGGCAGUCCAGGAUCCAUUUCCCAGAAACGAAAUCUCUUGAACAUUGGCAACCUCAGUAUCCCGAUACCUCGCCUUGAUCUGGUCAGAGCAUAAGUGAUAGUUAACAAUUUUCGUUUUUUUUGCACUUAAUUUUAUGUUGUGCGCUUCAAAGCAAGCAGCAAAUUUAUUCAGAUCCAUAGUAAGUGAUUUCUGGAUUUCAUAAUCAGUGCUACACCUCGCCAUGGUCGUUAUUAGAAGUACAGCAAUUUUUAGAUUGCGAACGAGUGUCUAGCAACAAAGACGCAUUGAAAUGAUGGAAAGAAAAUAAAUAUUUGUUUCUGCACCUAGCAUGUGUUGCGCAGGAGAGCCUUAGUGCAUGUGUUACGUCUGACAGAUAUUCGAAAAAAUAUAAUUUUAACAUAUAUUAGCAAAGAAUAACAGAAUAAUGAGUUUUCCACUUGUUUCGAACUAUUGCAUUAUAUCAGUAAUCAAUAACAUCAAUCAUCAGUAACUUAAAAACAAAAGACAGUUUUGCUGUCGAUUAUAAAAAAAAGAUCAUAGUCACAGAAAUCGCAAUCACAGGUUACAGUUACUGCGAUUCCAAAAUCACAGUCGCAGUUUUCAUUGCGAUUUCAAAAUCGCAGUUUUGCUCAUUUCUAGUUGGUAAUACAAGUUAGAGACUAAAAAGAGGCUGGAAAGAGAUGAUAGAAACUGGGCAGAAAAAAAAAUUCUGGAAAUAUGCUGGUAAUACUAGAUAACGAUAUCAAAAUCUCGGAAUAAUUGUCAUAUUACCAAGUAAUCAAAAGACAUGAUCAGGAUUAAAUAAUGAAUGGUUGAAGUUUCAAUUUUAUUAUUACAUAAAAUAUUUCCUACCCACACAAUUAUUUUUAUUGUAACUCGAUAAAACUGACAGAAAGGAAUUAUAAAAAGUACGAAAUGUUGCUUAUCGUUUCGGAUUCCAGAAACGCGUAAAUUGUUACCGCAAGAAAAAAGAAAUAAAAAUUCUCGAACGAUAUGGUCAUGAUAUUAGGAAGAACGUAGAAAUUAUUAAAAUAUGUUCGAAGCGAGAAUUCCGCAAGUUUUUUUUAAUGAGCUGCGCGCGAUUCAUUUACCUUUUCGAGAAAUCAAAUUGAAUUUAAAGAAUUGUGUAUAAAGGAUUUUUUUAUAAACACCUUGAUUUUAUAUUACGCACGUGUUGUUACUUUUCCUUUUCUUACCGUAAAAAUUUUACGUAGGAUUGAAAAUGUUUUAUGUAAACUGAUAAAAUUUAAAUUCCAACCAUUCAUCAUUUCGCGUUGAUGACGUCUUUUGAGAGUACGCUCGCAGUCAUUUUAUAAUAAUGUUACGAAUACUAUUCCGUAAAGUGGAAUUCGAAUGACCUUUAGAUUUUAUGUAAUUAUUUAUCCAGGCAUUCGGAAGGGACGUAAAGGUUUGUUGGACUGGAAUGGAAUGCAAAUGACAAGUUAUUAGUUUGAAUGGAAUUGGAAAAAAGAGGGAAAUGCUUAUUCAUUGUUCUGUGAAAGAGUUUAAAGAAAUUAUAAAAAAAUUUUAAUGUUUAAGAUAAGUUUCUUUUGUCGGCAAUUUUAUAGAUUUUUGAAAUAUAUCGCAAAAAUGUAAAUUAAAUAUAAUAAGAAUUAAUUAGUAUGGGUUACAUUGAAUGUUCUCUGAAUUUUAUAUAGCACUGAUAAAUUGCCAAAAUUUGCAGAACUACAAAAUUGAAUUCAAAAAGGACUAUAAUUUCAAAUUAUCCUCAUGAAUGAGGUUGUAGAUUGUUACUUCUUCAGUAUCCAGAUCAACAAUAAAGUUAUACAGUGUA
Molecule: long non-coding RNA, 2741 nt
Organism: Onthophagus taurus
Lineage: Eukaryota; Metazoa; Arthropoda; Insecta; Coleoptera; Scarabaeidae
Source: RefSeq, a predicted model, not a curated record